This 475-nucleotide ribosomal RNA is filed under the name Paenibacillus helianthi. RNAcentral describes it as "bacterial SSU rRNA". It matches the Rfam family "Bacterial small subunit ribosomal RNA", at positions 1 to 474 of the family's 1533-position model. The record is from RNAcentral. Lineage: Bacteria; Bacillati; Bacillota; Bacilli; Caryophanales; Paenibacillaceae.
UUUGGAGAGUUUGAUCCUGGCUCAGGACGAACGCUGGCGGCGUGCCUAAUACAUGCAAGUCGAGCGGAGCUUAUCCUUCGGGGUAAGCUUAGCGGCGGACGGGUGAGUAACACGUAGGCAACCUACCCUCUAGACUGGGAUAACUACCGGAAACGGUAGCUAAUACCGGAUAAUUCCUUCACCCUCCUGGGCGAGGGAUGAAAGGCGGAGCAAUCUGCUACUAGAGGAUGGGCCUGCGGCGCAUUAGCUAGUUGGUGGGGUAAUGGCCUACCAAGGCGACGAUGCGUAGCCGACCUGAGAGGGUGAACGGCCACACUGGGACUGAGACACGGCCCAGACUCCUACGGGAGGCAGCAGUAGGGAAUCUUCCGCAAUGGGCGAAAGCCUGACGGAGCAACGCCGCGUGAGUGAUGAAGGUUUUCGGAUCGUAAAGCUCUGUUGCCAGGGAAGAACGUCCGGUAGAGUAACUGCUACC